RNAcentral lists this ribosomal RNA (625 nucleotides) under Trichoderma harzianum. RNAcentral's name for it is "eukaryotic LSU rRNA". The stretch from base 239 to 392 matches the Rfam family "5.8S ribosomal RNA". The record is from RNAcentral. Lineage: Eukaryota; Fungi; Ascomycota; Sordariomycetes; Hypocreales; Hypocreaceae.
AAAAGGAUCUCGUUGGUGACCAGCGGAGGGACAUUACCGAGUUUACAACUCCCAAACCCAAUGUGAACGUUACCAAACUGUUGCCUCGGCGGGAUCUCUGCCCCGGGUGCGUCGCAGCCCCGGACCAAGGCGCCCGCCGGAGGACCAACCAAAACUCUUAUUGUAUACCCCCUCGCGGGUUUUUUUUAUAAUCUGAGCCUUCUCGGCGCCUCUCGUAGGCGUUUCGAAAAUGAAUCAAAACUUUCAACAACGGAUCUCUUGGUUCUGGCAUCGAUGAAGAACGCAGCGAAAUGCGAUAAGUAAUGUGAAUUGCAGAAUUCAGUGAAUCAUCGAAUCUUUGAACGCACAUUGCGCCCGCCAGUAUUCUGGCGGGCAUGCCUGUCCGAGCGUCAUUUCAACCCUCGAACCCCUCCGGGGGGUCGGCGUUGGGGAUCGGCCCUGCCUUGGCGGUGGCCGUCUCCGAAAUACAGUGGCGGUCUCGCCGCAGCCUCUCCUGCGCAGUAGUUUGCACACUCGCAUCGGGAGCGCGGCGCGUCCACAGCCGUUAAACACCCAACUUCUGAAAUGUUGACCUCGGAUCAGGUAGGAAUACCCGCUGAACUUAAGCAUAUCAAUAAGCGGAGGA